This 575-nucleotide non-coding RNA is filed under the name Pongo abelii (Sumatran orangutan). The record is from RNAcentral. Lineage: Eukaryota; Metazoa; Chordata; Mammalia; Primates; Hominidae.
GGACAACAGCCAGCAAGACAGUGAGGACUUCGGUUGUACAACCACAGGGAAAUGAAUUAUGCCGACAACCCUAAGGAGUAUGAAGCUGUUCUGUUCCUAGCCCAGUGUCUCCAUGAGGAUGCAGUCAGUGAACAACAUGAUUUCUGCUUUCUGAGACCCUGAACACAGGACCAACUGACACACACUGGACUCCUGGCCUAUGCAAAACGAUCUGAGCCCCUUUUCUCCUGAUUAAUCCACUGCAGGCCUAGAGCCAAGCUGCCCUGUUUAUUAAAAGGGGAUACCCACUACAGCAUCCACUGAAGAUACACUUCGAGAUUUCAGACUUCCAGCCACAAGAAGACGGCAAGUGAAGAAAAUAGGAGAAAGUGAAUAGACUUUAAGGCAAAGUCUUGAGAACUUCUUAAGAAUUGAAAGGGACCAAUCUCCUGAGCUUAUGAAAAGAAAGCAACAAAAAACUGAAUAACCAAUUCUAGGCCAAAACAGUUGAGAAGAGUAAAAAGGAAAGAAUGAACAAAAAGCAAACAUUUACUUUAGUAAUUUUAAAUGUUUCAAGAUUAAAAAAAAACAAAAUA